AUGAUUAGCGGCGGACGGGUGAGUAACACGUGGGUAACCUGCCUGUAAGACUGGGAUAACUCCGGGAAACCGGGGCUAAUACCGGAUAACUUUUUUCUUCGCAUGAGGGGGAAUUGAAAGAUGGCUUCGGCUAUCACUUACAGAUGGACCCGCGGCGCAUUAGCUAGUUGGUGAGGUAACGGCUCACCAAGGCGACGAUGCGUAGCCGACUUGAGAGGGUGAUCGGCCACACUGGGACUGAGACACGGCCCAGACUCCUACGGGAGGCAGCAGUAGGGAAUCUUCCGCAAUGGACGAAAGUCUGACGGAGCAACGCCGCGUGAGUGAUGAAGGUUUUCGGAUCGUAAAACUCUGUUGUUAGGGAAGAACAAGUAUCGUUCGAAUAGGGCGGUACCUUGACGGUACCUAACCAGAAAGCCACGGCUAACUACGUGCCAGCAGCCGCGGUAAUACGUAGGUGGCAAGCGUUGUCCGGAAUUAUUGGGCGUAAAGCGCGCGCAGGCGGUUUCUUAAGUCUGAUGUGAAAUCUUGCGGCUCAACCGCAAGCGGCCAUUGGAAACUGGGAGACUUGAGUGCAGAAGAGGAGAGUGGAAUUCCACGUG
RNAcentral lists this ribosomal RNA (602 nucleotides) under Bacillus sp. AL33 4.1. RNAcentral describes it as "bacterial SSU rRNA". It matches the Rfam family "Bacterial small subunit ribosomal RNA", at positions 88 to 675 of the family's 1533-position model. Lineage: Bacteria; Bacillati; Bacillota; Bacilli; Caryophanales; Bacillaceae. The record is from RNAcentral.